CCUUCGAUAGCUCAGUUGGUAGAGCGGUGGACUGUAGAUGAUCAGUAGUUGAAGUUGUGUUACAACAGAAAUCCAUAGGUCGCUGGUUCAAAUCCGGCUCGAAGGA
Molecule: transfer RNA, 106 nt
Filed under: Lucilia cuprina (Australian sheep blowfly)
Lineage: Eukaryota; Metazoa; Arthropoda; Insecta; Diptera; Calliphoridae
Description: tRNA-Tyr for anticodon GUA
Rfam family: tRNA
About the family: Transfer RNA (tRNA) molecules are approximately 80 nucleotides in length. Their secondary structure includes four short double-helical elements and three loops (D, anti-codon, and T loops).
Source: Rfam by way of RNAcentral